AUGCUCGCUUAGGCAGCACAUCUACUAAAAUUUAGAACGAUACAGAGAUUAGCGUGGCCCCUGUGCAAGGAUGACAUGCACAUUCGUGAAGUGUUCCAUAUUUUU
This is a small nuclear RNA of Suncus etruscus (white-toothed pygmy shrew), 105 nucleotides long. Lineage: Eukaryota; Metazoa; Chordata; Mammalia; Eulipotyphla; Soricidae. The record is from RefSeq and is a predicted model, not a curated record.